RNAcentral lists this ribosomal RNA (467 nucleotides) under uncultured bacterium. RNAcentral describes it as "partial 16S ribosomal RNA". It matches the Rfam family "Bacterial small subunit ribosomal RNA", at positions 28 to 507 of the family's 1533-position model. The record is from RNAcentral.
GACGAACGCUGGCGGCGUGCUUAACACAUGCAAGUCGAACGGAAAGGCCUCAGCUUGCUGGGGUACUCGAGUGGCGAACGGGUGAGUAACACGUGGGUGAUCUGCCUUGCACUCUGGGAUAAGCUUGGGAAACUGGGUCUAAUACCGGAUAUGAACUGCCUUUAGUGUGGUGGUUUGAAAGUUUUUUCGGUGCAAGAUGAGCUCGCGGCCUAUCAGCUUGUUGGUGGGGUAAUGGCCUACCAAGGCGUCGACGGGUAGCCGGCCUGAGAGGGUGUACGGCCACAUUGGGACUGAGAUACGGCCCAGACUCCUACGGGAGGCAGCAGUGGGGAAUAUUGCACAAUGGGCGGAAGCCUGAUGCAGCGACGCCGCGUGGGGGAUGACGGCCUUCGGGUUGUAAACUCCUUUCGACAGGGACGAAGCUUUUUGUGACGGUACCUGUAUAAGAAGCACCGGCUAACUACGUG